RNAcentral lists this long non-coding RNA (572 nucleotides) under Callithrix jacchus (white-tufted-ear marmoset). Its description in RNAcentral is "lncRNA (ENSCJAG00000084565.1)". Lineage: Eukaryota; Metazoa; Chordata; Mammalia; Primates; Cebidae. The record is from RNAcentral.
ACUGUUUCAAUCUCCUUGGAGGGGUGGCAGGGAACUUCCCCAAAAGUGACUGACAGACGGGCUGCUUGGAGCUCUGAGGGCCUCAAGGAGAGCGGAGGAGGGGCUGCCUUCAGCUGGGAAGGUGAGAGAAGAGCCUGAAGCAGAGGGGGGUCUCCACUACAGACUUUCCAGCUGCUGCUUGGGAACAACUGAUAAGCCAGGAAGGCAGCUGGAGCAUAGGCUGAGAAGCAAAGAGCAGGCUGUGCAAAGAGAUGGGAUCUCCCUGUGUUGCCCAGGGUGGUCUCAAACUCCUGGGCUCAGGUGAUCCUCCCACCUUGGCCUCCCAAAGUGCUGGAAAUUACACAGCCGAGACCUCCAACCUUCCUCUCGGUUUCUCACAUCUUAGCCCCGUGACUGUCUGAGUCCUCCGCCUCAAAAGAACACACAGAAGAAACAAGGUAAGAUGUGUCUUUCUUCCUAAUGCUGAGGAAGAACCAAGUGUAUAAUUCCUGAUAAUUGCAUUGUACUCUUUUUCCCGAGGGAUCUUUGAGAAGCGGGGAGGGGGCACUCUCUGCUACCAUGUAUUUGUGCAC